GUGACUAUGGUGUAGUGGUAACACGACAGCUUGUGGAGCUGUUUUCGCCGGUUCGAGUCCGGCUAGUCACCCCA
RNAcentral lists this transfer RNA (74 nucleotides) under Parcubacteria group bacterium. RNAcentral's name for it is "tRNA-His". It matches the Rfam family "tRNA". From Rfam's summary of the family: Transfer RNA (tRNA) molecules are approximately 80 nucleotides in length. Their secondary structure includes four short double-helical elements and three loops (D, anti-codon, and T loops). The record is from RNAcentral.